Non-coding RNA from Acanthosepion pharaonis, 581 nucleotides. Lineage: Eukaryota; Metazoa; Mollusca; Cephalopoda; Sepiida; Sepiidae. The record is from the annotation of a GenBank genome assembly.
CGUAGCGACUGGUACGUUCAUUUUGAAUAUAAAAAUUGUUUUUCUGAGAGGGGCAUGUUUAAGGUUACAUACAAUAAGCAUAAAAUGUUGGAAGAGGGACUCGUCUACGUCUAUCACCGUCCGUUUACGGUGCUGCGAUAAUCCAAGAGAGCAGACGGAGCCAUUCGUAUUACCACAUUAGAGGUGAAAUUUUCGUAUCCUCAUAAGACAAACAGCAGUGAUGGAAUGGGGAAAUCACGUUUUCCUUGAUCUAGAGCGAAUGUCAGAUGUUCGAACACGAUCAGAUACCGUCGUAGAAAAACGAUGCCGACAGGCAAACCAUGACCCGGCGGGUAUCCUGGGGAAAGCAGUGUUCGGUUGCGGGAAUGUUUGCUUAGCUGAAACUUAACGGAAUUGACAGACGGUCGCCACCAGGAGUAGAGCCUCCAGCUUAAUUUGACUCAACACGGGAAAGCUCAACAGGUACGAACACCGAUAGGAUUAACAGGUCGAUAGCUCUUUCUUCAUUCAGUGCAUGGCGGUCUUAGUUUGUGCGAUUCAUCUGGUUUGUUCCGAUAACGAAGGAGACUUCUGUUUGCUGU